Pelodiscus sinensis (Chinese soft-shelled turtle) is the source of this 192-nucleotide non-coding RNA. The record is from RefSeq and is a predicted model, not a curated record. NCBI's taxonomy places the organism in Eukaryota, Metazoa, Chordata, Testudines, Trionychidae.
GUUUGAAAAAAGAGGCAGGACGUGGGCUUUUUUUAGGGACUGGUUUUGAACAGAGAGAGACUGCUGCUAGGGAGAGCUGAUUAAUAUGGAAACAGCAACUGCAAAUUGCAUUUCCCCAGGGCAAGGGAAAUAAGAGCCCUGGGCACCUCUCCAGCGGUUGCAGUAGGAGUUAGCGAGACGCCCCCCGACGGA